Molecule: long non-coding RNA, 822 nt
Organism: Nomascus leucogenys (northern white-cheeked gibbon)
Lineage: Eukaryota; Metazoa; Chordata; Mammalia; Primates; Hylobatidae
Exons: 6
Source: RefSeq, a predicted model, not a curated record
ACACCUGACCUCUUCAGUUCAUCAGUGGGGUUCGCCAGCAUCACCCCCAUUUUUCAUGAAGAGAAACUCAGGAGUGGAGAGAACGUCUGAGGCUACAUAGCCAGUACAAAAUCACUUCUUGACCUGCACAACUUUCUCAUUUGAUGAGUUCAACAGAAACCAAUUCAAGGGAGAAGAAUAAAGACAUUGUUGAACUUAGACUUUGACAAGAUGCAUAUUGGAUAUUUAAUUAGAGAUAUCAAGAAAUGAAGAUAUGCAUUUCCAGUUCCAGGGAGAAAUUCAGACUGGAAAUAUAAAUUUAGGAAUUUUAAAGUUAGUGGUCACAUUUAAAGCUGCAGAAUACAAAGAGAUCACCUGUGUGAGAGAACUGAGUCCUGAAACACACCCGUGUUUAAAGAUCUGGAAGGUGUAGAGGAAUUAUCAAAGGAGACUGAGAAGGGACAGCCAGUGAAGUGUGUAGAAAAACAAGAUAAGCAAAAAGAAAAGUAAGAGAUACGGAACUGAACUUCCCUUUGGCAAAAAAUUUAGAAAAUGAUAAUUAGACUCCGCUUUCUGUCUCUCUGAAGAUAACGUUAAGCUGCAGCUCCAUAUCUGUGAAAACCCAUUUCAUAGCAUCUGCAACCCUGGGUUGCUAAAUACCCUUGUCUAGUUACCCGAAUAUUAAUGGAGCCCAUGGAAUGAGGUGGCAUGAUUCAGGCGCAAGCAAUUACCACAGGAUUUUGAAAAGCAGUAACUCCAAAUUAUCUUGUAAAGUUGAGAAUUAUCUGAGAAGAGCUAUUGUAAGAUUGGGAUUCAAGUAACAAAAUAAAGAUAUGAACCGUC